AUUGAACGCUGGCGGCAGGCUUAACACAUGCAAGUCGAACGGUAGCAGGAGAAAGCUUGCUUUCUUGCUGACGAGUGGCGGACGGGUGAGUAAUGCUUGGGAAUCUGGCUUAUGGAGGGGGAUAACUACGGGAAACUGUAGCUAAUACCGCGUAAUAUCUUCGGAUUAAAGAUUGUGACUUUUAGCCAUUCGCCAUAAGAUGAGCCCAAGUGGGAUUAGUUAGUUGGUGGGGUAAAGGCCUACCAAGCCGACGAUCUCUAGCUGGUCUGAGAGGAUGACCAGCCACACUGGAACUGAGACACGGUCCAGACUCCUACGGGAGGCAGCAGUGGGGAAUAUUGCGCAAUGGGGGCAACCCUGACGCAGCCAUGCCGCGUGAAUGAAGAAGGCCUUCGGGUUGUAAAGUUCUUUCGGUGGUGAGGAAGGCUAAUAUGUUAAUAGCAUAUUAGAUUGACGUUAGCAACAGAAGAAGCACCGGCUAACUCCGUG
This 489-nucleotide ribosomal RNA is filed under the name uncultured bacterium. RNAcentral describes it as "partial 16S ribosomal RNA". It matches the Rfam family "Bacterial small subunit ribosomal RNA", at positions 30 to 507 of the family's 1533-position model. The record is from RNAcentral.